This 443-nucleotide ribosomal RNA is filed under the name uncultured bacterium. Its description in RNAcentral is "SSU rRNA". It matches the Rfam family "Bacterial small subunit ribosomal RNA", at positions 26 to 518 of the family's 1533-position model. The record is from RNAcentral.
AGAACGAACGCUGGCGGCACGCCUAACACAUGCAAGUCGAGCGCCCAGCAAUGGGAGCGGCGGACGGGUGAGGAACACGUGGGAAUAUGCCUUUCGGUUCGGCACAACUGCGGGAAACUGCAGCUAAUUCCGGAUACGCCCUUACGGGGAAAGAUUUAUCGCCGAAAGAUUAGCCCGCGUCUGAUUAGCUAGUUGGUGAGGUAAUGGCUCACCAAGGCUUCGAUCAGUAGCUGGUUUGAGAGAACGACCAGCCACACUGGGACUGAGACACGGCCCAGACUCCUACGGGAGGCAGCAGUGGGGAAUCUUGGACAAUGGAGGAAACUCUGAUCCAGCGAUGCCGCGUGAGUGAUGAAGGCCUUCGGGUUGUAAACUCUUUUACCAGGGAAGAUAAUGACUGUACCUGGAGAAUAAGCUCCGGCUAACUUCGCGCCAGCAGCCGC